UGACGGGCCCGCACAGCAGCGGAGCGUGUGGUUUAAUUCGAUGCUACACGAAGAACCUUACCAGGGUUUGACAUGCAAGUGGUAGGAAACCGAAAGGUGACCGACCUUCGGGGAGCUUGCACAGGUGCUGCAUGGCUGUCGUCAGCUCGUGUCGUGAGAUGUUCGGUUAAGUCCGCUAACGAGCGCAACCCUCGCUGUGUGUUAUAUGUGUCACACGGGACUGCCGGUCUUAAGCCGGAGGAAGUGGGAUGACGUCAAGUCAGUAUGGCCUUUAUAUCCUGGGCUACACACACGCUACAAUGGUCGGUACAAUAGGUUGCCAAGCCGCGAGGCGGAGCCAAUCCACAAAGCCGGCCUCAGUUCAGAUUGUAGGCUGCAACUCGCCUGCAUGAAGAUGGAGUUGCUAGUAACCGCAGGUCAGCAAUACUGCGGUGAAUACGUUCCCGGGUCUU
This 452-nucleotide ribosomal RNA is filed under the name uncultured Anaerolineaceae bacterium. RNAcentral's name for it is "bacterial SSU rRNA". It matches the Rfam family "Bacterial small subunit ribosomal RNA", at positions 917 to 1381 of the family's 1533-position model. Lineage: Bacteria; Bacillati; Chloroflexota; Anaerolineae; Anaerolineales; Anaerolineaceae. The record is from RNAcentral.